AGUUGGUCCGAAGGUUGUAGGUUGUUGUUAAGCUGCUUUAACAUUGUCUCCCCCCCACAACCAUGCUUGAAUAGCUUUAA
RNAcentral lists this Y RNA (80 nucleotides) under Microcebus murinus (gray mouse lemur). RNAcentral's name for it is "Y RNA (ENSMICG00000047559.1)". It matches the Rfam family "Y RNA". Rfam says of the family: Y RNAs are components of the Ro ribonucleoprotein particle (Ro RNP), in association with Ro60 and La proteins. The Y RNAs and Ro60 and La proteins are well conserved, but the function of the Ro RNP is not known. In humans the RNA component can be one of four small RNAs -- hY1, hY3, hY4 and hY5. Lineage: Eukaryota; Metazoa; Chordata; Mammalia; Primates; Cheirogaleidae. The record is from Rfam by way of RNAcentral.